RNAcentral lists this ribosomal RNA (415 nucleotides) under uncultured bacterium. RNAcentral describes it as "bacterial SSU rRNA". It matches the Rfam family "Bacterial small subunit ribosomal RNA", at positions 401 to 809 of the family's 1533-position model. The record is from RNAcentral.
UGUGUGAAGAAGGCCCUCGGGUUGUAAAGCACUUUUAUCAGGAACGAAAUACCACGGGUUAAUACCCUAUGGGGCUGACGGUACCUGAGGAAUAAGCACCGGCUAACUUCGUGCCAGCAGCCGCGGUAAUACGAAGGGUGCAAGCGUUAAUCGGAAUUACUGGGCGUAAAGGGUGCGUAGGCGGUUGUUUAAGUCUGUCGUGAAAUCCCCGGGCUCAACCUGGGAAUGGCGAUGGAUACUGGAUAGCUAGAGUGUGUCAGAGGAUGGUGGAAUUCCCGGUGUAGCGGUGAAAUGCGUAGAGAUCGGGAGGAACAUCAGUGGCGAAGGCGGCCAUCUGGGACAACACUGACGCUGAAGCACGAAAGCGUGGGGAGCAAACAGGAUUAGAUACCCUGGUAGUCCACGCCCUAAACGA